This is a non-coding RNA of Pimephales promelas (fathead minnow), 315 nucleotides long. Lineage: Eukaryota; Metazoa; Chordata; Actinopteri; Cypriniformes; Leuciscidae. The record is from RefSeq and is a predicted model, not a curated record.
CAACUCCGCUUCAACAGCUUAACAGACAGCUAACCAGCGAGGAAAAACUAAAACUCAUGACAGCUCCGAUGUCAAAUUGGUGCAGCUACCCUGUGGGAAAAUGUCAACAUUGUGAUGAAAAGAGUGCUCACAAAUAGCCUCAUGUCUAUACUGAACAUGGAUGGGACUGGUGACAAGCUGCCUUUCAGAAGAAUUGAACUUUAUAAGGUCGCAAUAGGUAAUUAUAUUUUCUAUUUGUGCACCUACACCACCUAUAGCUCUAUUCUCUACAUGAUUUUUAUUUUGAUCAGUAUGUGCAAGAUAAAUGGCAAUUGC